AGGUGCUAAUACCGCAUAACCAUAGUUACCGCAUGGUAACUAUGUAAAAGGUGGCUAUGCUACCGCUUUUGGAUGGGCCCGCGGCGCAUUAGCUAGUUGGUGGGGUAAAGGCUUACCAAGGCAAUGAUGCGUAGCCGAACUGAGAGGUUGAUCGGCCACAUUGGGACUGAGACACGGCCCAAACUCCUACGGGAGGCAGCAGUAGGGAAUCUUCCACAAUGGGCGAAAGCCUGAUGGAGCAACGCCGCGUGGGUGAAGAAGGUCUUCGGAUCGUAAAACCCUGUUGUUAGAGAAGAAAGUGCGUGAGAGUAACUGUUCACGUUUCGACGGUAUCUAACCAGAAAGCCACGGCUAACUACGUGCCAGCAGCCGCGGUAAUACGUAGGUGGCAAGCGUUAUCCGGAUUUAUUGGGCGUAAAGGGAACGCAGGCGGUCUUUUAAGUCUGAUGUGAAAGCCUUCGGCUUAACCGGAGUAGUGCAUUGGAAACUGGGAGACUUGAGUGCAGAAGAGGAGAGUGGAACUCCAUGUGUAGCGGUGAAAUGCGUAGAUAUAUGGAAGAACACCGGUGGCGAAAGCGGCUCUCUGGUCUGUAACUGACGCUGAGGUUCGAAAGCGUGGGUAGCAAACAGGAUUAGAUACCCUGGUAGUCC
RNAcentral lists this ribosomal RNA (651 nucleotides) under uncultured bacterium. RNAcentral's name for it is "bacterial SSU rRNA". It matches the Rfam family "Bacterial small subunit ribosomal RNA", at positions 158 to 796 of the family's 1533-position model. The record is from RNAcentral.